GAGUUCGAUUAUGGCUCAGAUUGAACGCUGGCGGGAUGCUUUACACAUGCAAGUCGAACGGCAGCACGGACUUCGGUCUGGUGGCGAGUAGCGUGAACGGGGUGAGUAAUGUAUCGGAACGUGCCUAGUAGCGGGGAUAACUACGCGAAAGUGUAGCACACCGCAUACGCUCCCCGGGGGAAAGCGGGGACCUUCGGGCCUCGCACUAUUAGGAGCGGCCGAUAUCGGGAUUAGCUAUUGGUGGGGUAACGGUCACUCGGCGUUAAUGAUCCGUAGCUGGUUUGAGAUAAUGACCAGCCACACUGGGACUAUGACAUUUGCCCGACUUUGCCGUGGAGGCAGCAGUGGGGAAUUUUGGACAAUGGGGGAAACCCUGAUCCAGCCAUCCUGCGUGUGCGAUGUAAGGCCUUUCGGGCGAAGUACUGGCAGGAGAAGAAACGGCACGGAUAAUACCCUCGUGCAACUGACGGUACCUGCAGAAUACACCACACAAUCUACGUUACAUAUGCCGCGGUAAUACGUAGGGUGCAAGCGUUAAUCGGAAUCAUUACUGGGCGUAAAGCGUGCGCAGGCGGUUCGGAAAGAAAGAUGUGAAAUCCUGUAGAGCUAACUUUGGAACUGCAUUUUUAACUACCGAGCGAGAGGUCAGAGGGUGGAAUUCGCGCAGGCGGAAACGCAGAUAUGGUGCAGGAACACCGAUGGCGAAGGCAGCCUCCUGGGGAUAACACUGACGCUCAUGCACGAAAGGUGGGGAGCAACAGAUUAGAUAUCUUGGUAGUCCACGUUCUCAAACGAUGCUGCCAAUCUAUUGCUGGGCCUUCGGCCCGGUAGCGCAGCUAAUGCGGGGGUUGACCGCCUGGGGAGUACGGUCGCAAGAUUAAAACUCAAAGGAAUUGACGGGGACCGCACAAGCGGUGGAUGAUGUGUGAGACGAAUUCGAUGCAACGAAAACCCACCAGCCUUUGAGGCGUCUGGAAUCCCUGAAGAGAUUGGGAGUGUCGCAAGAGAACCACGGAACACAGGUGCGCGUGGCGGCUGUCGUCAGCUCGUGUCGAGAUGUUGGGUUAAGUCCUGCAACGAGUGCAACCCUUGCUUGCUGAGUUGCUGAAAGGGCACUUGAACAGACUGCCGGUGACAAACCGGAGGAAGGUGGAUGACGUCAAGUCCUCAUGGCCUGCGGUAGGGCUUCACACGUCACAUAAUGGUCGUGGACAGAGGGUCGCCAACCCGAGGGGGAGCCAAUCCCAGAAACCCGAUCGUAGUCCGGAUCGCAGUCUGCAACCUGACUGCGUGAAGUCGGAAUCGCUAGUAAUCGCGGAUCACAUGUCGGCAGGAAUAUGUCUCCGGGAACCGGUACACAACGCCGCCCGUCACACCAUGGGAGUGGGUUUUACCAGGCGAAGUUAGCCUAACCGUAAGGAGGGCGAUUACCACGGUAGGAUUCAUGACUGGGGUGGUUGUAACAAGGUAGCUCUGCUACACUGAUGUUCUCUAGAUGGCUUGAUCUAGGCAGGCUGAAUCCUCCGCUUAUUGAUAUGCUGUCUGAAGGGUAGCCCACCAUCGAGGUCAACUUGUUUGCCGUUGUAAGGCCGGGCCAAUAAUACUCGGCAAAUAUCCCGCCACACCAUUCAACGAGUUGGAUAAACCUAAUACAUUGAGAGGUCGACAGCACUAUCCAGUACUACCCAUGCCAAUACUUUUCAAGCAAACGCCUAGUCCGACUAAGAGUAUCACUCAAUACCAAACCCGGGGUUUGAGAGAGAAAAUGACGCUCAAACAGGUAAUGCCCCCUCUUGGAAUACUGCGAGGGCGCAGCCAGUGUUCAAAGAUUCGAUGAUUCACGGAAAAUCUGCAUCUAUAUGCUUUAUCGCAUUUCGCCGCGUUCUUCAUCGAUGCGAGAACCAAGAGAUCCGUUGUUGAAAGUUUUGAAGAUUAAUUCAAAAUUUUGACUAACUGUAAAAAAUAAUUAACAAGUUUUGUUAAACCUCUGGCCCAACCUAUCUCUAGGCCAAACCAAAGCAAGAGUUCUGUAUCAAAAGACAUCGUGUGUAGGUUUUUCGCCGCGGCAGUUGCUGGCGUAAGAAUACUGUAAUGAUCCUUCCGCAGGUUCACCUCCAU
RNAcentral lists this ribosomal RNA (2118 nucleotides) under uncultured Bordetella sp. RNAcentral describes it as "partial 16S-23S ribosomal RNA intergenic spacer". The stretch from base 1 to 1530 matches the Rfam family "Bacterial small subunit ribosomal RNA". The record is from RNAcentral. Lineage: Bacteria; Pseudomonadati; Pseudomonadota; Betaproteobacteria; Burkholderiales; Alcaligenaceae.